UGGAGUUAUGCAUGUGUCUCACUGCGCACUACACACACAUCUCUGCAAUCACACACUUCUCCAGCAUGCACACAGGACUGCUCUCUCUGUGGGUGACAGGGGUUUUGUUGCUGCCUCAGUGUUUGGGUUAUACAGAUGAUAGUGAAUUUGAUUAUGCGACACAGACCGCAGGAUACACCGACUAUACAGAUUACUCCUUUGAAUAUGAAUCUGACUAUAAUACAACCAGUAUAAAUUAUGAUAUGUAUGUAACUCCCAAUCAAGGCAAUAAACAUGGAGAAUCCAAUUCAGUAAACGAAGAAGCAGUCCGCGGUGGCAUGAACCCGAUAAAUGAUGAGGCCUCAACAGUGUGUAGAUACUGUGCUGUAGGACUGGGACUUAUAGUGCAACGGUUCUGCCAAUAAACAUGACUGGGAUUUUUACACACACAGCCUGAACAAAGGGCUGAAAGAAUUUGGAUUUUCGGGCACUGCAGGAUGCCAUUUCAGAUGCCCAAGCAGCUUGACCUUUUCUUCAGAGGGUGCACUGUGGGUUCUUUUUAACUGUUCUUUUAAGCAUUUAUUCUGAGUUUUGUAAAACCUUCAUUAAAUAUAAAGUGUACACUGUAGAAUUUGGCCAAGCAAUAGUGACUUAUACAUUGGUUCAUCAAAAAGCCCUAGAAAGAUACACUUACUAUUACCCAUGCCUAAUUCACUUACAUUGUAAGCUAGCCACAUAGGCGUCACAAUGGAUCGUGAGCCUUUUUUUAUUGAAAAAAACCCCAAAACAAAUACAAAACAGAUAUCAGGUACAGAACUUAAUGUAAAGUUGCUGGCAGCAUACAUAGUAAAUUAUAGGGUUGAAUAUUAAUAGCAAAUAUGAAUAUAUUUUUAUUAACAAAUUGGGCAGAAUUCCACCUCCAUUUUUUUUAAAAAGAACAAUCAAUCAUGUAAUUGUAUGCAAACAAAUGUUUUUACACAACUUUAAAGCAUCAAACAUUUCAUUUUGGAAGCACCAACCUCUCAUUCAGACUUUGUAAAUCAAACAGAGUUGGAUAUAGAGAGAUUGAUGGAGAGAUAGAAAUAAAGCAGAAUGAUUUUUUAUAUUAAUUGUUAUAAUGAUGUUAGGGAGAAAACAAUUAUUACCGUGAUGUUACAGAAAACAAACAAACAAUAUCCAAUAUUACCGCAUGAGUGUAGAACACUCAUUUUUAAGCUGUUUGGCAAUCUCUUUGGCAUAAAAAACACACAAUUUGCUUAUACUCUUACAAAAAACGGUUCCUUAAGGGAUCAGUUUGCUUACACUCUCACAAAAAGGUCCUUCACUCCCUAAAGAGCUUUACUUGAAACCCUAAAUUUUAAGAAUUCCCUUAGAGUGACAAAAAAGAACCCCACAAUGAACAUUAAAUCACAGUUGUGGUAAAAAGAAAACCAAAAAUAAUUUCCUUUGAUUGCAAAUAUUUCACCCCCCCCCCCCCCCCCCCCCCAAGACAGAUUUACCACUCUUGCCUUGGCACAUUGGUAAUUUUUUAUUAAUUCACCUGAAGCGAUUAUCAGAAAAGGCUCUGCAGGCUUAUGCUAUUUUAUAGUCAGGUUUGAUCUUGUUUUGACUUGUUGACAAGAAUGAAAGCAAAGCACAGCUUUCGUUCUCUCUGAUUCUAUGUGAAAUUUUAGACAAAUGUUUAAAAACAACCCCUGUAUUUUUGUCCAAUCUGUCACAUGAACAGAAGCACAUUUUAAGCUGAAAGACUUGUUUUUGUCUGACUCUUGCAAGCCUUUGAUAUGUAUCAUUUUAGGAUUUUAUAUCUAAAUUUCAGAUGUGGGUAACGUUGCUGAAAGCUUUCCUCAAAUAAUCCCUACUGCUUGCAAAAAACAAUUAUAUCUUAAAUCCCUAAUUUAGGAGUAACUAUGGUAACUAGUUGAUGGUAACUAGAGUCAGCUGGUGUCCAAUAACCUUCACAUUGCAUUUGGAAGAGAGACAGAGAGAGAGACAGAGAGAGAGAGAGAGAGAGAGAGAGAGAGAACACCACCACAGCACUGCUACAAUACCCACCACAUACAAUCAUUAUUAAAGUCCCUUACUGCAGACAUGUAAUAAACAAAUAAAGGAAUUAUGCCUUGGGACAUAACAAUAUAAAAUGAGUAGAUUUUCAGUAGCCAUUCAGUAUAAAUAAGAGAUUAGUUAGUAUAUAUUAUUAUACUAACAUGAAUUACAGAAGAUAAUAAAAAAAGUUCAGCAUGACUAAAUCUCUGCCACAUUGUGAAGGGUAUUCUGUUUUUUUUCUUCUUUCAGUGAAUCAGAUCAUUUAACUAAGCUCACUGGUAAUAGAUGACUCCCAAAUAGCUCAGUGCCAUUUUUUAGUUUAAACUUAAUAAAUGUUGUGAUAUCAUGACAGUGAUUGUUAUUUCUUUGUUGCAUGGAAUCUUGUUUUACCUUCUAAUGGAAGAAAUAACAUUGUUUUGCAUAGAAUUUUGAAUCAGGUGCUACAAAUGUGCAUUAAAAAAUACUGGCUUUCACUGCA
This is a long non-coding RNA of Ictalurus punctatus (channel catfish), 2500 nucleotides long. The record is from Ensembl. NCBI's taxonomy places the organism in Eukaryota, Metazoa, Chordata, Actinopteri, Siluriformes, Ictaluridae.